Molecule: ribosomal RNA, 253 nt
Filed under: uncultured Eubacteriales bacterium
Lineage: Bacteria; Bacillati; Bacillota; Clostridia; Eubacteriales
Description: uncultured Clostridiales bacterium partial 16S ribosomal RNA
Rfam family: Bacterial small subunit ribosomal RNA
Source: RNAcentral
UACGUAGGGGGCAAGCGUUAUCCGGAUUUACUGGGUGUAAAGGGAGCGCAGACGGCAGUGCAAGUCUGGAGUGAAAGCCCGGGGCCCAACCCCGGGACUGCUCUUGGAACUGCGUGGCUGGAGUGCAGGAGGGGCAGGCGGAAUUCCUGGUGUAGCGGUGAAAUGCGUAGAUAUUAGGAGGAACACCAGUGGCGAAGGCGGCCUGCUGGACGGUGACUGACGCUGAGGCUCGAAAGCGUGGGGAGCAAACAGG